UUCUUAUCAAGAGAAGCGGAGGGAACUGGCCCUGUGAAGCUUCAGCAACCAGCCGGAAAUCGGCCAGGUGCUAAAUCCAGCGAAUUGAGUAUUCAAUUCGGCAGAUAAGAA
Molecule: non-coding RNA, 111 nt
Filed under: Geobacillus thermodenitrificans
Lineage: Bacteria; Bacillati; Bacillota; Bacilli; Caryophanales; Anoxybacillaceae
Description: SAM-I sequence
Rfam family: SAM riboswitch aptamer (S box leader)
About the family: The SAM riboswitch is found upstream of a number of genes which code for proteins involved in methionine or cysteine biosynthesis in Gram-positive bacteria.
Source: RNAcentral